GACGCGCAGUCGCCCCCCCAGGCAGCCUAGGCGGCGGCAGCUGCUGCGGCGACUGCAAAGGCCGAUUUGGAGUGCUGGAGCGAAGAAGAGCAAAAGCUGCGUUCUGCGCGCGCCCGACUCCGCUGCCCGCCCCGCCAGGCCUCCGGGAGGUGGGGGCUGGGAGGCGUCCCCCGCUCCCGCCCCCUCCCCACCGUUCAAUGAAAGAUGAACUGGCGAGAGAAAGCGUUUGAUUUAUGAGCGUAGGACGAAUCGCAUCCAGGAGCUGCGCAGCCCUGGCCGCUGCCGGGACGCCCUGCUCCGCGCUGAGCUUGGGGCCAGAAACCAGCCAUAGUCCCCACACUCCGCCGCCGCAGCUGAGAUUUAGCGGAGGAAGGGGCGAGGGAAGGUAGGGAGCAAACCUAUGAAGAAACAUCGCGUUGUCAUUGGAACUUCCAAGCCUUUGCUGUUAAGAGCCAGGUUCUUAAAUCAACCCGCCCCACACACAUGUUGCUUACAUGCUGCGUUUUCUCACGGUCUGUUUUGCCUGAACCCAUCAACAGCUGGGAGAUUAAUCAACCACACUGAAAAUGUGGAGGGAUUUAUGGGGGAGGGGGUUGAAAUGUGGGUGUUUGAAACAAAAGUGUAUAAACAAAUGAAUUGUUGAUAACUUAGUUAUUGACCUGGAGACUGGUAGCUUAUUAAAGAAACUCCGUGUUACUCA
RNAcentral lists this long non-coding RNA (700 nucleotides) under Homo sapiens (human). RNAcentral's name for it is "non-protein coding HOTAIRM1:15". The stretch from base 590 to 691 matches the Rfam family "HOX antisense intergenic RNA myeloid 1 conserved region 4". The record is from RNAcentral. Lineage: Eukaryota; Metazoa; Chordata; Mammalia; Primates; Hominidae.